This 466-nucleotide ribosomal RNA is filed under the name uncultured bacterium. Its description in RNAcentral is "partial 16S ribosomal RNA". It matches the Rfam family "Bacterial small subunit ribosomal RNA", at positions 28 to 505 of the family's 1533-position model. The record is from RNAcentral.
GACGAACGCUGGCGGCGUGCUUAACACAUGCAAGUCGAACGGAAAGGCCCUGCUUUUGUGGGGUGCUCGAGUGGCGAACGGGUGAGUAACACGUGAGUAACCUGCCCUUGACUUUGGGAUAACUUCAGGAAACUGGGGCUAAUACCGGAUAGGAGCUCCUGCUGCAUGGUGGGGGUUGGAAAGUUUCGGCGGUUGGGGAUGGACUCGCGGCUUAUCAGCUUGUUGGUGGGGUAGUGGCUUACCAAGGCUUUGACGGGUAGCCGGCCUGAGAGGGUGACCGGCCACAUUGGGACUGAGAUACGGCCCAGACUCCUACGGGAGGCAGCAGUGGGGAAUAUUGCAAAAGGGGCGGAAGCCUGAUGCAGCAACGCCGCGUGCGGGAUGACGGCCUUCGGGUUGUAAACCGCUUUCGCCUGUGACGAAGCGUGAGUGACGGUAAUGGGUAAAGAAGCACCGGCUAACUACG